This 253-nucleotide ribosomal RNA is filed under the name uncultured bacterium. Its description in RNAcentral is "partial 16S ribosomal RNA". It matches the Rfam family "Bacterial small subunit ribosomal RNA", at positions 524 to 776 of the family's 1533-position model. The record is from RNAcentral.
UACAGAGGCCUCGAGCGUUAGGCGGAAUCACUGGGCUUAAAGCGUGUGUAGGCGGACUUCUAAGUACCUUGUGAAAUCCCACGGCUCACCCGUGGAACUGCUCGGUAUACUGGUCGUCUUGAGCCUUCUAGGGGCGAGUGGAACAAAUGGUGGAGCGGUGAAAUGCGUAGAUAUCAGGAGGAAUACCGGUGGGGUAGACGGCUCUCUGGACCGCCACUGACGCUGAGACACGAAAGCGUGGGUAGCAAACAGG